RNAcentral lists this transfer RNA (72 nucleotides) under Camelus bactrianus (Bactrian camel). It matches the Rfam family "tRNA". From Rfam's summary of the family: Transfer RNA (tRNA) molecules are approximately 80 nucleotides in length. Their secondary structure includes four short double-helical elements and three loops (D, anti-codon, and T loops). RNAcentral also lists the same sequence under 1 other name. Lineage: Eukaryota; Metazoa; Chordata; Mammalia; Artiodactyla; Camelidae. The record is from Rfam by way of RNAcentral.
GAACGUGUAGCUCAGUGGUGGAGCGCGUGCUUAGCAUGCAAGGGGCCCUGGAUGCAAUCCCCAGCACCUCCA